GAUGAACGCUGGCGGCGUGCCUAACACAUUCAAGUCGAACGGUGACGGGGGCUUCGGUCCCCUGAUCAGUGGCGGACGGGUGAGUAACGCGUGAGCAACCUGCCUUUCAGUGGGGGAUAACACAGGGAAACUUGUGCUAAUACCGCAUGAUGUGUCGAGACCGCAUGGUCAUGAUACCAAAGCUGAGGCGCUGAAAGAUGGACUCGCGUCUGAUUAGAUAGUUGGUGAGGUAACGGCUCACCAAGUCGACGAUCAGUAGCCGGACUGAGAGGUUGAACGGCCACAUUGGGACUGAGACACGGCCCAGACUCCUACGGGAGGCAGCAGUGGGGAAUAUUGCACAAUGGGCGAAAGCCUGAUGCAGCAACGCCGCGUGAGGGAAGACGGUUUUCGGAUUGUAAACCUCUGUCUUUGGUGAAGAUAAUGACGGUAGCCAAGGAGGAAGCCACGGCUAACUACGCG
Molecule: ribosomal RNA, 462 nt
Filed under: uncultured bacterium
Lineage: Bacteria
Description: bacterial SSU rRNA
Rfam family: Bacterial small subunit ribosomal RNA
Source: RNAcentral